This 140-nucleotide ribosomal RNA is filed under the name uncultured bacterium. Its description in RNAcentral is "partial 16S ribosomal RNA". It matches the Rfam family "Bacterial small subunit ribosomal RNA", at positions 355 to 509 of the family's 1533-position model. The record is from RNAcentral.
UGGGGAAGUAAUUGGACAAUGGGGGAAACCCGUGAUCCAGCGACGCCGCGUGAGUGAAGAAGUAUUUCGGUACGUAAAGCUCUAUCAGCAGGAAAGAAAAUGACGGUACCUGACUAAGAAGCCCCGGCUAACUACGUGCC